Molecule: ribosomal RNA, 759 nt
Filed under: uncultured bacterium
Lineage: Bacteria
Description: bacterial SSU rRNA
Rfam family: Bacterial small subunit ribosomal RNA
Source: RNAcentral
AUUGAACGCUGGCGGCAGGCCUAACACAUGCAAGUCGAGCGGAAACGAAGAGGUGCUUGCACCUCUGGCGUCGAGCGGCGGACGGGUGAGUAAUGCUUGGGAAUAUGCCUUAUGGUGGGGGACAACAGUUGGAAACGACUGCUAAUACCGCAUAAUGUCUACGGACCAAAGUGGGGGACCUUCGGGCCUCACGCCAUAAGAUUAGCCCAAGUGGGAUUAGCUAGUUGGUGAGGUAAUGGCUCACCAAGGCGACGAUCCCUAGCUGGUUUGAGAGGAUGAUCAGCCACACUGGGACUGAGACACGGCCCAGACUCCUACGGGAGGCAGCAGUGGGGAAUAUUGCACAAUGGGCGCAAGCCUGAUGCAGCCAUGCCGCGUGUGUGAAGAAGGCCUUCGGGUUGUAAAGCACUUUCAGUAAGGAGGAAAGGUUAAGUGUUAAUAGCACUUAGCUGUGACGUUACUUACAGAAGAAGCACCGGCUAACUCCGUGCCAGCAGCCGCGGUAAUACGGAGGGUGCGAGCGUUAAUCGGAAUUACUGGGCGUAAAGCGUACGCAGGCGGUUUGUUAAGCGAGAUGUGAAAGCCCCGGGCUCAACCUGGGAACUGCAUUUCGAACUGGCAAACUAGAGUGUGAUAGAGGGUGGUAGAAUUUCAGGUGUAGCGGUGAAAUGCGUAGAGAUCUGAAGGAAUACCGAUGGCGAAGGCAGCCACCUGGGUCAACACUGACGCUCAUGUACGAAAGCGUGGGGAGCAAACAGG